CUACUUCAAAGUCUAAGUUCACCACACACUACUGCCUUUGUUUUCUUUACAAUCGUUUCUUCUUUUUCCUUACAAAGAGUAACCCAUACCACAAUUAAUAACCCCAACAAAAAAGAAGAAAAAAAGUCAAUAUACCAAAUGUCGGUAACGUCAUUCUUCUUCAAUUGUUUUGCUCCCUCCUUAUCCUCAUCAUCCCAAGUCAUAGACUCACAAGGAUCUCAAUUGAAAUCAAAAUCAAAGGGAGCACCAAUUGUUGUUUCUUACUUCCCUAUUAACUCUCAUCCCUCACGCUUGUAAUAGGUGGUAAUUAAUUUGCAUCUACUAUGCUUCAUUAGUGCUAACUAAGCUAUGCUUCAUUUAGUA
RNAcentral lists this long non-coding RNA (363 nucleotides) under Lupinus angustifolius (narrow-leaved blue lupine). RNAcentral's name for it is "long non-coding RNA (LANG_LNC000851)". Lineage: Eukaryota; Viridiplantae; Streptophyta; Magnoliopsida; Fabales; Fabaceae. The record is from RNAcentral.